UGGGGAAUAUUGGACAAUGGGCGAAAGCCUGAUCCAGCAAUGCCGCGUGAGUGAUGAAGGCCUUAGGGUUGUAAAGCUCUUUUACCCGGGAUGAUAAUGACAGUACCGGGAGAAUAAGCUCCGGCUAACUCCGUGCCAGCAGCCGCGGUAAUACGGAGGGAGCUAGCGUUAUUCGGAAUUACUGGGCGUAAAGCGCACGUAGGCGGCUUUGUAAGUUAGAGGUGAAAGCCUGGAGCUCAACUCCAGAAUUGCCUUUAAGACUGCAUCGCUUGAAUCCAGGAGAGGUGAGUGGAAUUCCGAGUGUAGAGGUGAUAUUCGUAGAUAUUCGGAAGAACACCAGUGGCGAAGGCGGCUCACUGGACUGGUAUUGACGCUGAGGUGCGAAAGCGUGGGAGCAAACAGGAUAGAUACCCUGGUAGUCCACGCCGUAAACGAUGAUAACUAGCUGUCGGGGCUCUUAGAGCUUCGGUGGCGCAGCUAACG
RNAcentral lists this ribosomal RNA (483 nucleotides) under uncultured Pseudomonadota bacterium. Its description in RNAcentral is "bacterial SSU rRNA". It matches the Rfam family "Bacterial small subunit ribosomal RNA", at positions 355 to 857 of the family's 1533-position model. The record is from RNAcentral. Lineage: Bacteria; Pseudomonadati; Pseudomonadota.